UUAGCCUACUACGAGUGUCAGUGACUCAGUGUCAACUAAUUAAUGGUUUAUUUCGAUGAUUGGCAAACGAUUUAUAUAUUUUCUGUGUAUAAUUCAUGAAGAUAACUCCAAGUGUCAGAAAUUGACUAAGGUUUUGUAUGGGGAAACGGAAUGAUGAAUAAAUAAUGCCAUGUAGCUGACAACGAGUUCAACCUAUUCUGUCCUCUCUAGCCCAAGAGUUCCUGAGUAUCGGGAAACAGCGUAUGUUUAUGAAGACAGGUUCAGGAAAAAAUGGACAUCACAACCGCCUCCGCCUCCCCCCUCUAUUAAACAAAAACACUCUUUCAGACGCCAGUGAAUAAAAAACAAAAACAAAAAACACUAAAUGUCCCGCAGGGAUAUGAAAGCUAUUUAAUAGCUGCAAUGCAUGAGUGCAUCUUCCUUCAACAGCAAUAUCUUAACUCUGGUAGAAACAGAGUCGUCGCCAUACGCUCUUACGAGCACCUGUUCCACUUCCCCGCCCCUACGAGUCGUUUUGUCCCUGGUAAAACGCAUAAUUCAUCCGGCUUAUUGCACGGUGCGCCUGAUCUGCAUUGCAAAUGGUACGCGAGGCUCUGUUAUGCCUUCGUCGAGAUUGCAUAGAAAGCAGGAAGCCCUGGGGCUGGGUUUGACCUGUGGUGCUACAUGUCACGCGAAGACAAGUGCUCUCUUUAGCAAGUGCUCAAGCGCUCGCUGUUUUAGGGCUUGCAGACUGCGUAUAUGAGUUAUC
Macrobrachium nipponense is the source of this 748-nucleotide long non-coding RNA. RefSeq lists it as uncharacterized. The record is from RefSeq and is a predicted model, not a curated record. The transcript has 3 exons. Lineage: Eukaryota; Metazoa; Arthropoda; Malacostraca; Decapoda; Palaemonidae.